This 617-nucleotide ribosomal RNA is filed under the name Chrysotila carterae. Its description in RNAcentral is "partial Bacterial large subunit ribosomal RNA". It matches the Rfam family "Bacterial large subunit ribosomal RNA", at positions 325 to 941 of the family's 2925-position model. The record is from RNAcentral. Lineage: Eukaryota; Haptophyta; Isochrysidales; Isochrysidaceae.
GAGCCUAGUAGAAUGGUUUUGGGAAAGCCAGCCAGAGAGGGUGAAAGCCCCGUACACGAAAGGCAAGCAAGCAUGGCAGGAUCCAGAGUACCACGAGACACGUGAAACCUUGUGGGAAUGCGCGGGGACCACCCCGUAAGGCUAAAUACUCCUUAGUGACCGAUAGCGCAUAGUACUGUGAAGGAAAGGUGAAAAGGACCCCGGGAGGGGAGUGAAAGAGAACCUGAAACCAUAUGUUUACAAGCUGUGGAACAUCUUUAUAUGAUGAACCGCGUACUUUUUGUAGAACGGUCCGGCGAGUUACGCUGGCUGGCGAGGUUAAGGGCUGAAGGCCUGGAGCCGAAGGGAAACCAAGUCUGAACAGGGCGAAAUAGUCAGUCGGAGUAGACCCGAAACCGGGUGAUCUAUCCAUGUCCAGGUUGAAGUUGCCGUAAAAGGCAAUGGAGGACCGAACCCACAUCCGUUGAAAAGGGUGGGGAUGAGGUGUGGAUAGGGGAGAAAUUCCAAUCGAACCCGGAGAUAGCUGGUUCUCCCCGAAAGCUAUUUAGGUAGCGCCUCGGACGAAUACCACAGGGGGUAGAGCACUGUUUCGGCUAGGGGGUCAUCCCGACUUACCA